CGUACAUACUCCUAUCAUAUCCAGAACACCCCGUACAUGUCUUAAAGCCAUUCUUGAGUAUGAACCAAAAUAUGAAUUUAUGUGCAUAAAAUUUCAUGAUGAUCUUAGGUCUAAGGAUCACUUGCACAACUUUCACUUAAAGAACCAUCUUUAAUAUGCAAGUAAGGCUUCCAUAAGAUAUUCUCUUUCAUCGAGUCAAUUCAGUGGACUCAUUUCUCAAAUGAGC
RNAcentral lists this long non-coding RNA (226 nucleotides) under Elaeis guineensis (African oil palm). RNAcentral's name for it is "long non-coding RNA (EGUI_LNC036611)". The record is from RNAcentral. Lineage: Eukaryota; Viridiplantae; Streptophyta; Magnoliopsida; Arecales; Arecaceae.